This is a long non-coding RNA of Hypanus sabinus (Atlantic stingray), 311 nucleotides long. RefSeq lists it as uncharacterized. The transcript is spliced from 3 exons. The record is from RefSeq and is a predicted model, not a curated record. Lineage: Eukaryota; Metazoa; Chordata; Chondrichthyes; Myliobatiformes; Dasyatidae.
CAGACAGACAGAAAUCGGCAUUCCCGCGGAUCAGUGACAGGAGAGCCUGGACCGGGAUUGACCACCGGGACAGCAGGAUCUAUGAGCUCAGGCCUGGAGACGUCUACAUUGAAACAGUCUGAAGGAUAUUAUUCUGGAGAAAACACCUGGAAAAUGUCCCCUGUCCCAGCAGGAGAUGCCUCCUCAGAUUCUUCCUUGGUCACAACUCGGGAACCCCAUCAAUCAGCAACUGAAGAAUUUGGUCCAGGUCUGUCCAGCACCCCAGCAGGAUCCAUGAGCCAGGGUACAGAUUCCAUGUUGGAGACUGCUCG